CAGGAGUUUCAGGGGGAGGGGGGGGACUAUUACAACGUUUGUACCUAGCUAUUAGCUAAUCGAUCAAAGGCAAAUCGCAGAUGAAAUGUGUGUAUGAAAAUCGGCUGUUUUUUUUUCUUCUUCUUGUUCUAUUCUUACAAAACCAGCCUAGAGUCCUAGUCUCCUAGACUCAAAGGUGGUCGGCCAAUGCAACGCUAGGGAGAGCGAGCAUCGCAGGCGAGUUCGUUGUUGCAGAACUAUUGGACACGCAGAUGGAAUCCUCAUCAUCGCCAACUGAUCCAUCCAUGCGGAGUAAUUAACUAAGAAGAUGAGAGUUUACCUGGAUCUCGGUGACGUCGGCGGCGCACACCCGGCCGUUGUAGAAGAUGGUCAUGUUCCUCCUCGCCUCCGCCGGCGGCGGCAGCGGCGGCGGAGGAAGAGCAGCCGCAGUCGCGGCACCGUCGUCCGCCCCCGUCCUGAGGCGCAGGCUGAGCUCAACGCCUCCUCCGCCGCCGCCGCCGUUGCUCAAACCACUACUCUCCUCGUCGUCGCCACCGCCACCGCGCCACCGCCGCUCCUGCGCCGCCGCUCCGGCGACGCCACCGUCGUCGACGUCCCUUCGGCCGUCCAUAGACCGGCCACUAGCAGCUCUCUAGAUGCAGCCAACAGACACAACACAGGGCAGGCAGCCUUCAGCUCGUCUGUCGUCUCCUUCCUCUGCU
Molecule: unclassified non-coding RNA, 701 nt
Filed under: Zea mays
Lineage: Eukaryota; Viridiplantae; Streptophyta; Magnoliopsida; Poales; Poaceae
Description: misc RNA Zm00001eb300150
Source: RNAcentral